Molecule: long non-coding RNA, 438 nt
Filed under: Triticum aestivum (bread wheat)
Lineage: Eukaryota; Viridiplantae; Streptophyta; Magnoliopsida; Poales; Poaceae
Description: long non-coding RNA (TAES_LNC028633)
Source: RNAcentral
UGCUCAUGAUCUGAUUCCCUUUAAACUAGAACAGCAACUUAUUUCCAGUUCAAAGCAAUAUAGGUUGUUGUUUGCAUGCUUAUGCUAGCUGCUUAUUUGAUGUGAGUUGUUGCAAAAAAUGGUGAACCAUGUCAUCCUAGUUUAUGAAAUAUUCUUUAUCUUUGAGGCAUGCAUGUUUAUUUAUAGCUGUUUUAACCUUGUAAUUGUUUUGCAUGUCUCAUGCCAACGUAACACAGCAGUAUAAAUCUUUUUCCAUAUUUUGUGCUCUUUGCUUAGAAAGGAUGGAAUUAUUCUUUUCUAGGGGAACAUGGAAUUUUUGUGUAGUGAAUCUGCUGCUGUUAUUCUUUUGAGCUGCAAAAGUAGAAAGCAAAUGGUUCAAAAUUCCAUCUGUUGGUUAGGUAACCAAACUAGCAAAUUACCACUGAUAAAACUAGCAAC